GGAGGGGUGGCAGAGCGGUCGAAUGCGGCGGUCUCGAAAACCGUUUCGGGCGGUUCCGUCCGACGAGAGUUCGAAUCUCUCCCCCUCCG
Molecule: transfer RNA, 89 nt
Filed under: Actinomycetes bacterium
Lineage: Bacteria; Bacillati; Actinomycetota; Actinomycetes
Also listed under: 1 other name
Description: tRNA-Ser
Rfam family: tRNA
About the family: Transfer RNA (tRNA) molecules are approximately 80 nucleotides in length. Their secondary structure includes four short double-helical elements and three loops (D, anti-codon, and T loops).
Source: RNAcentral